AUUUACGCAAUGAUAAGGAAAAGUACAUCAGUGUGCUCGUCCAGAGAGGAAAUGCCAAAGGCUGUAAGCAUUUCCCGAUACUGCUGAAUGGAAAACCACCUUGGAGCAACUUGCUGAAAGGCUAGUAAGCAAGUCGGCAGGACACCGUUAUUGUCCUUUGAGGUGGGAGUGCAAACUCCAACCAGGGUGGAACCGCGGAAACAUCCCGUCCCUGAU
RNAcentral lists this non-coding RNA (216 nucleotides) under Desulforamulus ferrireducens. RNAcentral's name for it is "Desulfotomaculum ferrireducens T-box sequence". It matches the Rfam family "T-box leader". From Rfam's summary of the family: Uncharged tRNA acts as the effector for transcription antitermination of genes in the T-box leader family. T-boxes are found upstream of many aminoacyl-tRNA synthetase genes and some amino acid biosynthetic genes usually in Gram-positive bacteria. Lineage: Bacteria; Bacillati; Bacillota; Clostridia; Eubacteriales; Peptococcaceae. The record is from RNAcentral.